Molecule: ribosomal RNA, 748 nt
Filed under: uncultured bacterium
Lineage: Bacteria
Description: bacterial SSU rRNA
Rfam family: Bacterial small subunit ribosomal RNA
Source: RNAcentral
CAUGCAAGUCGAGGGGCAGCACGGGGUAGCAAUACCCCGGUGGCGACCGGCGCACGGGUGAGUAACACGUGUGCAACCAACCCCGUACCGGGAGAUAACCCGCGGAAACGUGGACUAACACCCCAUAAUACCUUUCCCCCGCAUGGGGGGGAGUUUAAAACCCCGGUGGUACGGGACGGGCACGCGCGACAUUAGGUAGUUGGCGGGGUAACGGCCCACCAAGCCGACGAUGUCUAGGGGUUCUGAGAGGAAGGUCCCCCACACUGGAACUGAGACACGGUCCAGACUCCUACGGGAGGCAGCAGUGAGGAAUAUUGGUCAAUGGGCGAGAGCCUGAACCAGCCAAGUCGCGUGAGGGAAGAAUGGUCUAUGGCCUGUAAACCUCUUUUGUCAAGGAAGAAUAAGCGGCACGAGUGCCACCUUGCCAGUACUUGACGAAUAAGCAUCGGCUAACUCCGUGCCAGCAGCCGCGGUAAUACGGGGGAUGCGAGCGUUAUCCGGAUUUAUUGGGUUUAAAGGGCGCGUAGGCGGGACGGCAAGUCAGCGGUAAAAGACUGCAGCUAAACUGUAGCACGCCGUUGAAACUGUCGACCUGGAGACGAGACGAGGGAGGCGGAACAAGUGAAGUAGCGGUGAAAUGCAUAGAUAUCACUUGGAACCCCGAUAGCGAAGGCAGCUUCCCAGGCUCGAUCUGACGCUGAUGCGCGAGAGCGUGGGUAGCGAACAGGAUUAGAUACCCUGGUAGUCC